ACGGAAGGCAGCAGUGGGGAAUAUUGCACAAUGGGCGAAAGCCUGAUGCAGCGACGCCGCGUGAACGAAGAAGUAUUUCGGUAUGUAAAGUUCUAUCAGCAGGGAAGAAAAUGACGGUACCUGACUAAGAAGCUCCGGCUAAAUACGUGCCAGCAGCCGCGGUACUACGUAUGGAGCAAGCGUUAUCCGGAUUUACUGGGUGUAAAGGGAGCGCAGACGGCAUGGCAAGCCAGAUGUGAAAGGUGGGGGCUCAACCCCCAAGCUGCAUUUGGAACUGUCAAGCUAGAGUAUCGGAGAGGUAAGUGGAAUUCCUAGUGUAGCGGUGAAAUGCGUAGAUAUUAGGAGGAACACCAGUGGCGAAGGCGGCUUACUGGACGAUAACUGACGUUGAGGCUCGAAAGCGUGGGGAGCAAACAGGAUUAGAUACCCUGGUA
This 434-nucleotide ribosomal RNA is filed under the name uncultured Lachnobacterium sp. Its description in RNAcentral is "partial 16S ribosomal RNA". It matches the Rfam family "Bacterial small subunit ribosomal RNA", at positions 341 to 792 of the family's 1533-position model. Lineage: Bacteria; Bacillati; Bacillota; Clostridia; Lachnospirales; Lachnospiraceae. The record is from RNAcentral.